AUGGCUCCUCAAGUUUUUCGCACCCAACCUCUGAUUCCUCCGUCCUACCAAUCACUCUUCCUUCUUUGCACCAUCCUCAUAUUUCUAUCCUCCAACACAAUAAUAUUCUCAUCAGCGCAGGCUACCAACAAAACAGAAGAUGAUCGGCAAGCCCUUCUCUGCUUCAAAGCUGGCAUCUCCAAGGACCCUGCCGGUGUUCUUGGAUCAUGGAGCAAUGACUCGCUUAACUUCUGCAGCUGGCGAGGGGUCAACUGCAGCACCACCCUCCCGAUCCGUGUCGUGUCCCUCCAAUUCAGGUCUGCGCAGCUCACAGGAACACUAUCCAGUUGCACAGCUGCCCUUACUUCUCUAGUUCAGUUGAACCUUUGGAACAAUAAGUUAUCUGGAAGCGUACCUGAAGAGAUAGGUGAGCUUCGGAGCCUCCAAACCCUGAUGCUUGCUGCCAACAGGCUUUCAGGUAACAUCCCUCUGUCAUUAGGUACAGCUGCAUCUCUUAGAUAUGUCAACCUUGCAAACAAUUCUCUUAGUGGAGCUAUCCCUGAUUCCUUAGCAAAUAGUUCGUCACUCAGUGAGAUAAUCCUCUCACGUAAUAACAUAUCUGGGGUUAUCCCAGCUAAUUUGUUCAACUCAUCCAAACUUGUUGCUGUUGACCUCCGGUCGAAUGCUCUCUCCGGGGCUAUCCCACAUUUCCAAAAGAUGUCAGCUCUGCAGUUUCUCGAUCUUACGGGGAAUUCACUUUCUGGUACCAUACCAGCAUCUUUAGGAAAUGCUUCAUCCUUGCGUUCACUCCUGCUAGCACAAAACAAGUUAGCACGAUCAAUUCCGGAAACUGUCGGUCAAAUUCCAAAUCUAAAAAGGGUAGAUCUAAGUAAUAACAUGUUCUCGGGGUAUGUCCCAGCCACACUGUACAAUGCGUCAUCACUCACAUUCUUUCGCCUAGGCAGCAAUAGAUUUACUGGACAGCUACCUUCUGACAUUGGCCACUCACUUCCAAACCUCGAAACAUUAGCAAUGGGACUCAACGGAUUUCGUGGAUCAGUCCCAGAUUCCCUGACCAACAUGUCAAAGCUCCGAGUGCUUGAUCUUUCAAGCAACUCGCUGACUGGCGUGGUGCCAUCUCUAGGAUCCUUGGCAAACUUGAGUGUACUGCUUCUAGGAGAUAAUAAACUCGAAGCUGAUGACUGGGCCUUUCUUACCUCUCUGACCAAUUGCACCCAGUUGUUAAUAUUAUCAGCAGAUGGAAAUAUCCUGAAUGGAAGUUUGCCAAAAGCAGUAGGCAAACUUUCAACAAAGCUUCAGCGGUUAAGCUUUGGAAGAAACCAAAUUUCUGGAGACAUACCAGCUGAGACAGGGAAGCUUGUAAGUCUCACUCUGCUUGACAUGGGCCAGAACAUGCUCUCUGGACCAAUUCCCCUGACAGUUUGGAACUUGAGAAACUUGGUUGUCCUAAAACUUUCCAUGAAUAGGUUGUCAGGUCAGAUUCCAUCAACAGUUGGUAACCUUGUUCAACUCAGCCAGCUUCAUCUUGAUGAUAAUGAAUUGUCUGGAAACAUACCAGCAAAUAUAGGACAAUGCAACAGGCUGCUUAUGCUAAACAUGUCAGUUAACCACCUUGAUGGAUCCAUACCAAGAGAACUCUUCAGUAUUUCCUCCCUUUCAUUGGGCUUGGACUUGUCAAACAACAACCUGACUGGGCCAAUACCAUGGGAAGUUAGUAACCUGAUCAAUCUUGGCCUCCUUAAUGUUUCCAACAACAAAUUAUCUGGUAGCCUUCCUUCUGAACUUGGCCUGUGUGUUCAACUGCUAUCCCUUCAGAUCAAAAGCAACAUGCUUAAUGGGAGCAUUCCCGAGUAUUUCAGCAAACUGAAGGUCAUACAGCAGAUAGAUCUGUCCGAGAACAAUUUAACUGGUCAAGUUCCACAGUAUUUUGUGAACUUCAGCAGCUUAAAUUAUAUUAAUAUAUCAUACAACAAAUUUGAAGGGCCAAUCCCGACUGGUGGCAUAUUUCGAAAUUCAGCUGUAGUAUUCCUGCAAGGCAACACAGGCUUAUGUGAAACAGCUGCUGCCAUAUUUGGAUUGCACAUUUGCCCAACCUCCUCAGCAACAAGAAGGAAGAUCAACACACGCCUGCUGCUUAUAGUAGCUCCACCAAUUACUAUUGCCGUGUUCUCAUUAUUAUGUGUUGUUGUCACUAUUAUGAAGGGAACUAAAGCUCAACCAUCUGAAAGCUUCAAGGAGACAAUGAGGAGGGUGUCAUAUGGAGACAUCCUUAAAGCCACCAAUUGGUUCUCUCUGGUCAACCGGAUCAGUUCAAGUCAUACAGCAUCCGUCUACAUUGGCCGGUUUGAGUUCGAGACAGAUCUAGUGGCCAUCAAAGUAUUCCAUCUUAGUGAGCAAGGUUCAAGAAAUAGCUUUUUCACCGAGUGCGAAGUGCUAAAACACACCCGCCACCGCAACCUGGUUCAAGCUAUCACCCUGUGCUCCACUGUAGAUUCCGAGGGUGAAGAAUUCAAGGCCAUAGUAUAUGAGUUCAUGGCAAAUGGUAGCCUGGACAUGUGGAUACACCCAAGGGUCGGCAGCUCAAGGAGGCUGCUGAGCUUGGGCCAGCGGAUACGUAUUGCUGCUGACGUGGCUUCCGCUCUGGACUAUAUGCACAACCAGCUGACACCUCCUUUGAUCCACUGCGAUUUGAAGCCAAGCAAUGUGCUGCUGGACUACGAUAUGACCUCGCGCAUUUGUGACUUCGGGUCUGCCCAGUUCCUCUCUUCAAGUAUUGGCAGACCAGAAGGCUUUAUUGGUGUAGGAGGAACAAUCGGAUAUAUCGCUCCUGAAUAUGGGAUGGGAUGCAAAGUCUCGACAGGCGGCGAUGUUUACGGUUUUGGGGUGCUGCUGCUGGAGAUGCUCACGGCAAGGCGGCCGACGGACGUGCUAUGUGGCAACGCCCUCAGCCUCCACAAGUAUGUCGAUCGAGCCUUCCCUGAGAGGAUCGCUGAGGUUAUAGAUCCCCACAUGCCAUCCGAGGAGGAUGAGGCGGCUGCUUCUGUACGUAUGCAGAACUACAUUAUACCUUUGGUCAGUAUUGGCCUGAUGUGUACCAUGGAAUCGCCGAAAGAUAGACCAGGAAUGCAUGAUGUCUGUGCUAAAAUUGUUGCCAUAAAAGAGGCAUUUGUUGAGACCUUGUGA
This 3183-nucleotide ribosomal RNA is filed under the name Triticum aestivum (bread wheat). Its description in RNAcentral is "partial small subunit ribosomal RNA". Lineage: Eukaryota; Viridiplantae; Streptophyta; Magnoliopsida; Poales; Poaceae. The record is from RNAcentral.